Molecule: non-coding RNA, 30 nt
Filed under: Rattus norvegicus (Norway rat)
Lineage: Eukaryota; Metazoa; Chordata; Mammalia; Rodentia; Muridae
Source: RNAcentral
GCCCUUCACUUCAGGCUUCCGGAGUAAGCC